Molecule: non-coding RNA, 936 nt
Organism: Delphinapterus leucas (beluga whale)
Lineage: Eukaryota; Metazoa; Chordata; Mammalia; Artiodactyla; Monodontidae
Source: RefSeq, a predicted model, not a curated record
CUUGAGUUCUUCUCUGAAAUUGUAAGCAAAGAGGUGUGGGUCUUCAUCACACAUUUUUCGGUAUGCGUCACAGAGGCUCUUAAAAUGUAAGACAGAGAGCUGGGUGGGUCGAAGAGUAGGGUCCACAUCUGCCAACUUUAACAGUUUCCCAGUGCUUUCUAAACGCUGAGCUUCAGGGAAUAACAUUCUGAAAGGAAGAGAAAAAUGUCAGAAUUCUACUUAAAUUCUGCCCAUCAUCAUGCUUCCUUCUACCCUCAUUUGAAACCGGCAUGGUUCUGACAACUUUGCAGAGGCUUUUCUUCCACCCCCCAGAGCCCUGCAGGACCCCGAGCCAGUGGAGGACUCUGCUUACGCCGCCAGGCAACAGGUACGAACCACCGCUGAAGGCACAGCUAAUCGGACCUGCACGGUGUGUCCACAUGAGAAAAGAGUUUCUGAAGCUCAAUCAAUACAUGUAUCUUGAAGUCUCAGAGGGCUCGGAAGACAUCGUGGCGAGAGGAGACUGACUUUUUCUUACAGGCUGAUGGUCCCCGCAACCAGGAGCUGCGUGUCCCUACAUUCUCAGGGUUGGAGGGAAAAUACUGGCAUAUGACGUGAGACCGUGUGGACGAGAUGGACCAAAGAUGGCCAACCGGGACGGGCUUCCAGAGGUGUGAGUGGCGUUUCUCCUGCGGGGUCUGAGCCGCCUCACCACGAGCUGCCCCACCAGACCUCUGCCCCAUCGUCAGUCACUGAGGCUGGCAAACGCUGGGAAUGUUCUAAGCAGUCGAGUGAAAACUGCCAAUGGAGGGACUUUCCGCCUGAAAAUGCUCCCCGAAAUGUCCCUCAGCCUUCAGACUAUUUUAGUGACGAUUAUACACCUUCGGUGGAAAAGCCCUUAUUCCACUGCAGAGUGACCAUCUCAAUGUUCUUAUUAAACUUUAAUAGUUUUUCAAA